RNAcentral lists this ribosomal RNA (1382 nucleotides) under uncultured bacterium. Its description in RNAcentral is "bacterial SSU rRNA". It matches the Rfam family "Bacterial small subunit ribosomal RNA", at positions 18 to 1395 of the family's 1533-position model. The record is from RNAcentral.
CCUGGCUCAGGAUGAACGCUAGCUACAGGCUUAACACAUGCAAGUCGAGGGGCAGCAUGGUCUUAGCUUGCUAAGGCCGAUGGCGACCGGCGCACGGGUGAGUAACACGUAUCCAACCUGCCGUCUACUCUUGGACAGCCUUCUGAAAGGAAGAUUAAUACAAGAUGGCAUCAUGAGUCCGCAUGUUCACAUGAUUAAAGGUAUUCCGGUAGACGAUGGGGAUGCGUUCCAUUAGAUAGUAGGCGGGGUAACGGCCCACCUAGUCUUCGAUGGAUAGGGGUUCUGAGAGGAAGGUCCCCCACAUUGGAACUGAGACACGGUCCAAACUCCUACGGGAGGCAGCAGUGAGGAAUAUUGGUCAAUGGGCGAGAGCCUGAACCAGCCAAGUAGCGUGAAGGAUGACUGCCCUAUGGGUUGUAAACUUCUUUUAUAAAGGAAUAAAGUCGGGUAUGGAUACCCGUUUGCAUGUACUUUAUGAAUAAGGAUCGGCUAACUCCGUGCCAGCAGCCGCGGUAAUACGGAGGAUCCGAGCGUUAUCCGGAUUUAUUGCGUUUAAAGGGAGCGUAGAUGGAUGUUUAAGUCAGUUGUGAAAGUUUGCGGCUCAACCGUAAAAUUGCAGUUGAUACUGGAUAUCUUGAGUGCAGUUGAGGCAGGCGGAAUUCGUGGUGUAGCGGUGAAAUGCUUAGAUAUCACGAAGAACUCCGAUUGCGAAGGCAGCCUGCUAAGCUGCAACUGACAUUGAGGCUCGAAAGUGUGGGUAUCAAACAGGAUUAGAUACCCUGGUAGUCCACACGGUAAACGAUGAAUACUCGCUGUUUGCGAUAUACAGCAAGCGGCCAAGCGAAAGCGUUAAGUAUUCCACCUGGGGAGUACGCCGGCAACGGUGAAACUCAAAGGAAUUGACGGGGGCCCGCACAAGCGGAGGAACAUGUGGUUUAAUUCGAUGAUACGCGAGGAACCUUACCCGGGCUUAAAUUGCAGAUGAAUUACGGUGAAAGCCGUAAGCCGCAAGGCAUCUGUGAAGGUGCUGCAUGGUUGUCGUCAGCUCGUGCCGUGAGGUGUCGGCUUAAGUGCCAUAACGAGCGCAACCCUUGUUGUCAGUUACUAACAGGUUCCGCUGAGGACUCUGACAAGACUGCCAUCGUAAGAUGUGAGGAAGGUGGGGAUGACGUCAAAUCAGCACGGCCCUUACGUCCGGGGCUACACACGUGUUACAAUGGGGGGUACAGAGGGCCGCUACCACGCGAGUGGAUGCCAAUCCCCAAAACCUCUCUCAGUUCGGACUGGAGUCUGCAACCCGACUCCACGAAGCUGGAUUCGCUAGUAAUCGCGCAUCAGCCACGGCGCGGUGAAUACGUUCCCGGGCCUUGUACACACCGCCC